GACGAACGCUGGCGGCGUGCUUAACACAUGCAAGUCGAACGGUAAGGCCCUUCGGGUACGACGAGUGGCGAACGGGUGAGUAACACGUGGGUGAUCUGCCCUGCACUUCGGGAUAAGCUUGGGAAACUGGGUCUAAUACCGGAUAGGACCACGGUCUGCAUGGAUUGUGGUGGAAAGCUUUUGCGGUGUGGGAUGGGCCCGCGGCCUAUCAGCUUGUUGGUGGGGUGAUGGCCUACCAAGGCGACGACGGGUAGCCGGCCUGAGAGGGUGUCCGGCCACACUGGGACUGAGAUACGGCCCAGACUCCUACGGGAGGCAGCAGUGGGGAAUAUUGCACAAUGGGCGCAAGCCUGAUGCAGCGACG
Molecule: ribosomal RNA, 364 nt
Filed under: uncultured bacterium
Lineage: Bacteria
Description: bacterial SSU rRNA
Rfam family: Bacterial small subunit ribosomal RNA
Source: RNAcentral